Non-coding RNA from Varroa destructor (honeybee mite), 1476 nucleotides. Lineage: Eukaryota; Metazoa; Arthropoda; Arachnida; Mesostigmata; Varroidae. The record is from RefSeq and is a predicted model, not a curated record.
GCGUAUCUCUAGCUAAACAAAUAUGGAAUAGAUUUCCAGUGUGUUACACAGCCAAAUCUUUUUACGAUACCGAACCCGUACAGGUUCCUUAAAUAGCCAUGGGCUUUUUGUUGUUGUUAGCGAUAUGAGCACUACCUAUAAUCCCUUAAAAAGCCCUAUAAACCUAUAAAAGCAAGUUCUGUGUGACGACGAAACCCGUCGAGUCUAAAUAGCGUCAAUUAAUGUAUGAGGGUCAAUUAAGCCAUUCUGUUAAUUACUAUUACCCUGCUAGUUAAUGGCUAUUGUCAGAAAUUUUUUGUGUGGCGGCGAGCGACGACUGGAAGAAGAAACGGCCGCCGGACAACGUUACGCUGUGCAUUCGCAUGAAGGCUUCCUUAUUUUUCCGAAGUUCACCCGGGAUGCAUUUGCAACGCUUUUGAUUCGACUGACCGAUGCACGUAACCGGCACCGCGAUGAUAUUCCUCACGAUCAGAUACAGCAACUAUUGAUCCUCAAACAGCGUUAUGACAUUGCCAAUUGUGAGAGACUGAAGGUACCUACGGAUUUUACGUAUUCGGAUGUCAUCAUGAGAGAUAUUGAGCGACAACUAUUCAAUGACUUUAUCGGUCGUGUGGAAGCUGAAGUAAUUGCAAUUCUCUUUGCGAAUGCACUCGAAGGCACCGAGCUAGACCUCAAGAUUACGCAAGGUCAGAGCUGUACAUCAGUCCGCCUGAAAUUUCAAAAUGAAGAGUGGAUGGUCCACUCAUUCAUACAGGGGACGUUAUGAAGCAGCUAACAUCGAAAGGUUGAAAGCACCCGUGAUUUAUACUUACUUUGACGAGGUGAUGCGAGAUAUUGAACGGCAACUUUUCGGCGAUCUGAUUGGACAUCUAGUGUUCAGGGCAGUCUGCAUAAGAGACGCUCCUGAAGACCUUCAAGUCGAUCUGAAGAUAUAUCAUGGUCCAAGUGUCGGGUCGCUUAAACUGGAGAUGGAUAGUGCUGUAUGGACUUACCAUUACCUCGUCCAGGGUCAGCCUACAGAUGAAAUUUGGUUUAGGAUCAGCCCAAAGACACCUACAGUAAAGAUGGAGCUGACAUCAAAAGCAGGAAUUUUCGGUUUCUUCAAAUACCGAUUAGUCAAUUGGGGAGAACCAGUCGAGUUCGAUGUCCUUGAUUUAAUAGCACGAAAAAGUUUGCUUGAUGUCACCUUCGGAAAAAUCAAGGUGCGACUGAAAUGUGUCUGGCGACCUUCCAGUUGGUACGAAAUGCAGCUGGGAAACAGCGGACAAAAUCAAUGAACUAGCUAUAGAAUGGCUAGCUACAAUACGAUCUACGGGUAGUCGUUCUUUUUUUUUGAAAAAUACACUAUUACUCGUUAGGCAGAUCUAAUUAGUGAACUGUAAUCGAUAGCGAAUCUGAUAGGGAAUCCUCGAAUAGGAAUAACUAAAACGCUUCGAACUAAUUCUUUCCAGAUAAGAUAUAGUGACUAACCGGAGA